This 66-nucleotide transfer RNA is filed under the name Leuctra fusca. RNAcentral describes it as "tRNA-Leu". Lineage: Eukaryota; Metazoa; Arthropoda; Insecta; Plecoptera; Leuctridae. The record is from RNAcentral.
UCUAUUUUGGCAGAUAAGUGCAAUGAAUUUAGAAUUCAUGUAUGUAAAUAAUAUUUACAAAUAGAA